This is a long non-coding RNA of Tupaia belangeri chinensis (Chinese tree shrew), 1417 nucleotides long. RefSeq lists it as uncharacterized. NCBI's taxonomy places the organism in Eukaryota, Metazoa, Chordata, Mammalia, Scandentia, Tupaiidae. The record is from RefSeq and is a predicted model, not a curated record. The transcript has 3 exons.
CAAGGGACAGAAACAGAGAUAGCUCUUUCAAUAGCAUCUUGACACUGUGGUCAUGUGUCCACCAGCCAGCCCUGGAUCAUUGGGACCAGUAUGGCUGUGGAAGAGAGGACUGUGGUGCCUGUAGUGAUGAUGUCAAGUAUGCCACUAUUUAUCAGAAGAUCCAGUAUCCAGUCUCCAAGCCUAAACCACAUCGAUUUCCCACAGCAUUUUAUUCUUGGCACCCUCUGGCCCACAUCCCAUUUGACAAAGAAAGCUGAGUGACCUCAGUUGUUAUGAGCUGGAACUAAAGCAAAUGAAUUUAUUAAUAUAUGUUGAUAGUUGAUGGAGUCACAGAAUUGCACUUGAUCCUCUGAACAACCUUGACACUAGAACUUAGUAUGUACUGUAUUAUUUUACAAAUAAGAAAAUCAAAGGUUCUAAGGGAAUCUGUGCUUUAACCAAGGACAUAGGACUAGUGAGUGAGUGUUGGUGCCCAGAGACCCAACUCCAUCAGCCUGCGAAGCCCAGAUUCCCCGACGAUAAGGUCCUCACAGAAGAGGUUUGAAAGCCUUCUGUCCUGCCGGUUCAAACAAUUCUCCUGAGGACAGAUGACCAAGUUCAGGGACAAAAUCAAUUUCUCCCAUUCUCUUCCUGAGACAUACAAUAAAUGUAGUAUGUAUUCAGCCCUACAAGCAGCUGAGGAAAUGCCCACUUUUCCUCAUUAUUCUUUCAACCAAUAUCUACUGAGCUACCCUUUCCCCCAGGUACCAGGAACCUAAGUUACUUGCCCUCAGGCAGCUUACACUCUUGGGAAGUUAUUGAAAUAACUUGCCUUACAGGUCAUCUUAUUUAACUUCUUCCCCAUAUCUGUCAGGCUCUUUAUAAGAGCACACACAAGCUAGAAAUAGUUUGAAGGAUAAUGAGCUAAUUAUUUGACCAUCCAUCACAACUGAUGACCUAAAAUGGGUUAGGAACUGUAGAGAUCAUUUAAACACCUGAGAUAUUUUUUUCAACAAGAUAGUUUGGAGAGGCAAAUGGCUUCCUUAAUUCCAUGUAAUAAAAUAUUCAUUUCUAGGUAGCUAUACAUAAAUUAAAAUCACUUUUUGAUGACCCAGCCUUAACAUGCACGCAAUUAUUUAUAUUAAUGUGAAAGUAAUUACAAUUAUAACCAUCUAAAUCCAUCUUCUUCUUUUUUGACACUGCUGCCAUCACUGUGCCGAUUGUUUCUGGUCACUGUGUAAACUCUGAAGUCACUUCUCUGUCCCUGCCUGCUUGGUACCUGUCUGCUCCCUGUAUGGAGCUGCUGUCACCACUGUAGAAGGUAUUGGAAUUGCUCUGUUGGGAUUUUCAUUAAGGUUAUAUAUGUUGAGCGAUCAGAAGGUGGCAUGGUGGUUAAGGUGCUGAACUUCCACAUGGCCAGUUGUGACUUGAAUCUGGA